RNAcentral lists this ribosomal RNA (375 nucleotides) under Escherichia coli. Its description in RNAcentral is "partial 23S ribosomal RNA". It matches the Rfam family "Bacterial large subunit ribosomal RNA", at positions 1 to 415 of the family's 2925-position model. Lineage: Bacteria; Pseudomonadati; Pseudomonadota; Gammaproteobacteria; Enterobacterales; Enterobacteriaceae. The record is from RNAcentral.
GGUUAAGCGACUAAGCGUACACGGUGGAUGCCCUGGCAGUCAGAGGCGAUGAAGGACGUGCUAAUCUGCGAUAAGCGUCGGUAAGGUGAUAUGAACCGUUAUAACCGGCGAUUUCCGAAUGGGGAAACCCAGUGUGAUUCGUCACACUAUCAUUAACUGAAUCCAUAGGUUAAUGAGGCGAACCGGGGGAACUGAAACAUCUAAGUACCCCGAGGAAAAGAAAUCAACCGAGAUUCCCCCAGUAGCGGCGAGCGAACGGGGAGCAGCCCAGAGCCUGAAUCAGUGUGUGUGUUAGUGGAAGCGUCUGGAAAGGCGCGCGAUACAGGGUGACAGCCCCGUACACAAAAAUGCACAUGCUGUGAGCUCGAUGAGUAG